AACUAAUUAAUUCCGAUAACGAACGAGAUUCUAUCCUGCUAAAUAGUUCGUAUGUAACUUUGUGUGGUGGAUGCGUAGUUGGCCUUGGUCUUCUGCGUGUUGCUGCAUGAGCAUAUGGUACUUCUUAGAGGGAUUGGUGGAUAGCCAAGCCACACGAGAAAGAGCAAUAACAGGUCUGUGAUGCCCUUAGAUGUUCGGGGCCGCACGCGUGCUACACUGACAGUAGUAGAGAGUUUGAUAUCCUAGCGCGAAAGUGCUGGGCAAACUUUUCAAUUACUGUCGUGCCUGGGAUCGGGGUUUGUAACUAUCCCCCGUGAACCAGGAAUUCCUAGUAAGCACAAGUCAUCAGCUUGUGCUGAAUACGUCCCUGCCCUUUGUACACACCGCCCGUCGCUACUACCGAUUGAAUGGUUUAGCAAGGUCAAUGGAUUGACCGCAGUCUUGUGCAAACAGAACUGUGGUUGAGAAGCUGGCCGAACUC
This 481-nucleotide ribosomal RNA is filed under the name Rysavyius rysavyi. RNAcentral describes it as "SSU rRNA". It matches the Rfam family "Eukaryotic small subunit ribosomal RNA", at positions 1313 to 1766 of the family's 1831-position model. Lineage: Eukaryota; Metazoa; Platyhelminthes; Monogenea; Gyrodactylidea; Gyrodactylidae. The record is from RNAcentral.